Molecule: long non-coding RNA, 482 nt
Filed under: Olea europaea subsp. europaea
Lineage: Eukaryota; Viridiplantae; Streptophyta; Magnoliopsida; Lamiales; Oleaceae
Source: RNAcentral
UGUUUGUAUUGGAAUUCAAUUGUGUAAGUCAAUAGCACAGGACUAAUAUCACCGGCGUCGGGUCGCGAAACUUGAAUAAUAGUAGCCUUGGGCAACUCAUCAAAAAUUCGAGUCGGCUCAGCAGUGCUUGGAUGAUGAAACGAGAAAAACGAUGAAGUCAUCGACUGCAACGGAAACGCCGCCGCCGUCUCCGAUUGCAUUUGGACGUACUUCGGUCCGCCUCCCAUCAAUUGCUCCGUCGACGCCAUUAAAUAAAUAAAUAUUACAAAUAUCUAUGGUUUACGUAUAGAUUGAUGAAUUGGGUGAGAGAGAAUUGAGAUCUAAUGGGAUUGCUUAGAGAGAAAAAGACUCUGUGUGUGAGAGAGAGAGAGAGGAGAAGAAACGGAACUCCUGUUCGAUUUUUUAAAGAUCCGUUGAAAGUGAUGGGAAAAUGUAGAUUUGUACGUGUACCUUCUAAAUAGACCGGAUCGUUGGGAUCGAAG